GUAUAUUUGUAAUCAUUGUAUAGAUAAAAUUCUGUUAUACCUUUUAUAAGAACUAUUAUAUGCCCAGCAUUUUUUAUGAUUACAUCAUUGUGUUAGCUGUGACCAAAAUACCUGACAUGCUGGGCAUGAUGGCGUGUGCCUGUAAUCGCAGUAGCUCUGGAGGCUGAGACAGGAGGACCUCAGCUUCAAAGCCAGCCUCAGCAAAAGCAAGGUGCUAAGCAACUCAGCAAGACCCUUUCUUUGAAUUGAAAUACAAAAUAGGGCUGGGAUGUGGCUCAGUGUUUGAGUGCCCCUGAGUUUAAUCUCUAGCACCCCCCCCCCCAAAACAAACAAACAAACAAACAAAAACCUGACAGUAACAAUUUAGUGGAAGAAAGAUUUAUUUUGGUUCAUGGUUUUAGAAGUUCAGUCCAUGGUCUGCUGGCUCCAGGGCAGAAAUAUGGUGGAGGAAAUCUGCUCAGCUCGGGACAACGUGGAAGGAGACAGGAAGAGACCAGGAACAAAUAUAGUUCCAAGACCAUGCUCUAGUGACCUGCUUCCUCCAGCCAGGUCUAACCUGCUUAUCAUUUUCACCCCUCCUGGUGAAGUCCAUUCAAAUUAUUAUUAUUAUUGUUUUAUAUAUAUAUAUUGGGCUGGGGAUGUGGCUCAAGCGGUAGCGCACUCGCCUGGCAUGCUUGCGGCCCAGAUUCGAUCCUCAGCACCACAUACAAAGAUGUUGUGUCC
This 723-nucleotide long non-coding RNA is filed under the name Marmota monax (woodchuck). The record is from RNAcentral. Lineage: Eukaryota; Metazoa; Chordata; Mammalia; Rodentia; Sciuridae.